GAGAUCAACGAAUGACCCCCUGUUGUUGUUUAAAUUAUUAUCUUGUCAAUCAGGCUUUUGGCGAAAUGUAAUGCUUUUAAACACCCGAGAAAUCAGUCAAUUCAAUAGCAAUAAUGGAGAGAAUGAUGAGCAAAAAGAAAGGAUUAACCACUGCG
This is a non-coding RNA of Yersinia mollaretii ATCC 43969, 155 nucleotides long. NCBI's taxonomy places the organism in Bacteria, Pseudomonadati, Pseudomonadota, Gammaproteobacteria, Enterobacterales, Yersiniaceae. The record is from Rfam.